This 415-nucleotide ribosomal RNA is filed under the name uncultured prokaryote. RNAcentral's name for it is "bacterial SSU rRNA". It matches the Rfam family "Bacterial small subunit ribosomal RNA", at positions 505 to 918 of the family's 1533-position model. The record is from RNAcentral.
GUGUCAGCCGCCGCGGUAAUACGGAGGAUGCAAGCGUUAUCCGGAAUCAUUGGGCGUAAAGCGUCCGCAGGUGGCAUUUCAAGUCUGCUGUCAAAGGUCGGGGCUUAACUCCGAACAGGCAGUGGAAACUGAGAAGCUAGAGUGCGGUAGGGGCAGAGGGAAUUCCUGGUGUAGCGGUGAAAUGCGUAGAGAUCAGGAAGAACACCGGUGGCGAAAGCGCUCUGCUAGGCCGCAACUGACACUCAGGGACGAAAGCUAGGGGAGCGAAUGGGAUUAGAUACCCCAGUAGUCCUAGCUGUAAACGAUGGAUACUAGGCGUUGCUUGUAUCGACCCAAGCAGUGCCGGAGCUAACGCGUUAAGUAUCCCGCCUGGGGAGUACGCACGCAAGUGUGAAACUUAAAUGAAUUGACGGGG